CUCGCUCUCUCAGUCGCUCGAUCUCGCUCUCGCUCUCUCAAUCGCUCGAUCUCGCUCUCGCUCUCUCAAUCGCUUGAUCUCGCUCUCUCAGUCGCUCGAUCUCGCUCUCGCUCUCUCAAUGGCUCGAUCUCGCUCUCUCAGUCGCUCAAUCUCGCUCUCGCUCUCUCAAUCGCUUGAUCUCGCUCUCUCAGUCACUCCCGCUCCAGGAAGAAGCUGGGGCUUGGGCAUAUCAAUGGUGGCUAGCGGAGUAGCUGGUGCCUGUUUGGUUCUUGGGAGUUUCUUCACUUUAUGAGGUGCAAAUCUGAUUUGAAUAUGAAACAACUCAUGGAAUUGUAUGUGUAUAUGUAAUGGAAAUUUAUUUGUUUUUAUUUGGAUUUUCUUUUGAACUUUGCAAAUAUGCAAAUUGUGAUUGAGAUUACUCUCACAAUUUGCUAUGGACUGUAAUAAUAAUUAAUUUAUGUAUUUGGAGAUGUGUGGUGGGUGAUUAUUUGCUA
This is a long non-coding RNA of Prunus avium (sweet cherry), 494 nucleotides long. RefSeq lists it as uncharacterized. The record is from RefSeq and is a predicted model, not a curated record. NCBI's taxonomy places the organism in Eukaryota, Viridiplantae, Streptophyta, Magnoliopsida, Rosales, Rosaceae.